GAUGAACGCUAGCUACAGGCUUAACACAUGCAAGUCGAGGGGCAUCAGGAAGAAAGCUUGCUUUCUUUGCUGGCGACCGGCGCACGGGUGAGUAACACGUAUCCAACCUGCCCUUUACUCGGGGAUAGCCUUUCGAAAGAAAGAUUAAUACCCGAUGGCAUAAUGAUUCCGCAUGGUUUCAUUAUUAAAGGAUUCCGGUAAAGGAUGGGGAUGCGUUCCAUUAGGUUGUUGGUGAGGUAACGGCUCACCAAGCCUUCGAUGGAUAGGGGUUCUGAGAGGAAGGUCCCCCACAUUGGAACUGAGACACGGUCCAAACUCCUACGGGAGGCAGCAGUGAGGAAUAUUGGUCAAUGGGCGCUAGCCUGAACCAGCCAAGUAGCGUGAAGGAUGAAGGCUCUAUGGGUCGUAAACUUCUUUUAUAUAAGAAUAAAGUGCAGUAUGUAUACUGUUUUGUAUGUAUUAUAUGAAUAAGGAUCGGCUAACUCCGUGCCAGCAGCCGCGGUAAUACGGAGGAUCCGAGCGUUAUCCGGAUUUAUUGGGUUUAAAGGGAGCGUAGGUGGACUGGUAAGUCAGUUGUGAAAGUUUGCGGCUCAACCGUAAAAUUGCAGUUGAUACUGUCAGUCUUGAGUACAGUAGAGGUGGGCGGAAUUCGUGGUGUAGCGGUGAAAUGCUUAGAUAUCACGAAGAACUCCGAUUGCGAAGGCAGCUCACUGGACUGCAACUGACACUGAUGCUCGAAAGUGUGGGUAUCAAACAGGAUUAGAUACCCUGGUAGUCCACACAGUAAACGAUGAAUACUCGCUGUUUGCGAUAUACAGUAAGCGGCCAAGCGAAAGCAUUAAGUAUUCCACCUGGGGAGUACGCCGGCAACGGUGAAACUCAAAGGAAUUGACGGGGGCCCGCACAAGCGGAGGAACAUGUGGUUUAAUUCGAUGAUACGCGAGGAACCUUACCCGGGCUUAAAUUGCAGUGGACUGAUGUGGAAACAUGUCAGUGAGCAAUCACCGCUGUGAAGGUGCUGCAUGGUUGUCGUCAGCUCGUGCCGUGAGGUGUCGGCUUAAGUGCCAUAACGAGCGCAACCCUUAUCUUUAGUUACUAACAGGUUAUGCUGAGGACUCCAGAGAGACUGCCGUCGUAAGAUGUGAGGAAGGUGGGGAUGACGUCAAAUCAGCACGGCCCUUACGUCCGGGGCUACACACGUGUUACAAUGGGGGGUACAGAAGGCAGCUAGCGGGUGACCGUAUGCUAAUCCCAAAAGCCUCUCUCAGUUCGGAUCAAAGUCUGCAACCCGACUUCGUGAAGCUGGAUUCGCUAGUAAUCGCGCAUCAGCCACGGCGCGGUGAAUACGUUCCCGGGCCUUGUACACACCGCCCGUCAAGCCAUGGGAGCCGGGGGUACCUGAAGUGCGUAACCGCGAGGAUCGCCCUAGGGUA
This 1433-nucleotide ribosomal RNA is filed under the name uncultured organism. RNAcentral's name for it is "16S ribosomal RNA". It matches the Rfam family "Bacterial small subunit ribosomal RNA". The record is from RNAcentral.